Parelaphostrongylus tenuis is the source of this 69-nucleotide non-coding RNA. NCBI's taxonomy places the organism in Eukaryota, Metazoa, Nematoda, Chromadorea, Rhabditida, Metastrongylidae. The record is from the annotation of a GenBank genome assembly.
ACCUUGGUGGUGUAGUGGUAACACGCGUCCCCGAAGGUUGAAACGCCGGUUCAAUACCAGCCUGAGGUG